GAUUUCAGCUGAAGACUUGAGAGAGCAGCUUCAUGAGAAAGGCGGCCUAGUCAAGAAUCAUAACUUGAACAUCUUUUCAUAUGCCUCUUGGCCGUCUGUAUAUUUUCUUUGGAAAAAUGAAUCAGUGAUCUUCAAGGAUGCGGCUGUGGACUUUACCAGGAAGAGUGGGCCUUGCUGGACACAUCCCAGAGAAAGCUGUACAGAGAUGUGAUGCUGGAGAAUAUCAGGCAUCUUGUCUCUGUGGAAGUGACCUUAAAAACCAGGAAAUGACAUGUAUACCAGAUAUCUGCAGGAAGGACCUUCUAACCACACAGUCAAUGAAAUCUCACACCGGAGAGGGACUCGUGGAAUAGAAUGAGUGUAAGGAUGAUUUCACUCACGGAUUAACGGUGACUUCACAUGUGUUAACUCAAAAGGGCCCAGGAGAUCCACCUCAUUAAGCUGUUGGACCAAUCGAGGCAGCAAAGCUAUGAAGAAACACCAAAGUGUCACCGGGAAAAGACCACAGAUUUUCUCAAGGACGUGCAAUCCAGCUCCACUCUCAGCAAACACUUCUUGUUCAUGAGAUCUUUGAAUGGCUAUGAAGAGGAGAGAAAAAAACCAGACAAUCACCAAGAUGCAAAGGGAGAGGAUGACUUCAAGUUCUGAGCUGCCUUGACUUUGAACCCCUUCCCUCGCCCAUGCGGAGCUAGAGUCUAUGCCAGGACGUCAAGGAGUCAGAAGCUGAGUUUUUCUAAAACAGACCAUCUCUUCUUCAGUUUCAAAGAGGAUGAGGGCUCAGAAAUCAGUGCUCAAGGCUGGAACAGAAUUCUAAUAGAAAGGCUAAUUUAUAUAAAAUUUGAGUUCCAUUUAUGCUACCCACCGCUGCCAUAGAAUCUCCUAAAAUACAUCUCUGACUUGCCCACUCUGCUGCUCACAAGGCCCUCUCCAUCUCUCCAGCCCUAGCAAAUCCAACCCAGAGUGCCCGCAUGACCACAGAGGCCCCCACUCUCUGAUUCCUACCUUGACUCUCUCUGCUUCAGCAAACUCCUCACUCUUCCUGCAUGUGCUCCCUGCCCACUCACCCUUCCUCAUCCUACUCCUCUGGGGGGAUCCUUCUGUCUCCACAUCUCCGAACCCACCCAUUCUUCCAGUCCACUGCCAGUGGCAAGUAUCCCAUCAGCUCAGCCUGGCCCCUCAUCUCAACUUCCUCACCCACUGUCACCUCUUCUCUUUCUGAACAUGCACAUACAUUUGUUGCUGUCAAACACAGGAGUUCAGAGCAUCCAACUAGAAGAUGUUUUCUGAAGGGUGGGUAUGACUUAUAAUUUUGAUUCAGCUUUGAUUGCC
This 1329-nucleotide long non-coding RNA is filed under the name Equus asinus (donkey). RNAcentral's name for it is "lncRNA (ENSEASG00005037557.1)". The record is from RNAcentral. Lineage: Eukaryota; Metazoa; Chordata; Mammalia; Perissodactyla; Equidae.